CCAAUAAAAUUGUGCCACGUGUAUACUGUGUACACGUAGACAUUCUAACCUGGCACUUAACAGCCAAAAAUGGAUGGAAAUGACUAAUUGCUAACGGACUAGUGGUUUAGGUAGUUUUACCACCAAAAUUUUAGAUUAAGGAAUUAGUUGCAAAAACUUAUCCACUUUAGGAGGUUUUGCCGCAAAUAACCCUUAUAUUUAUGCAUAGAUCAAUAUGGGUUUAUGAUUAUGUCAUUCUCAUCAUCCACUAUUCACCAAGCCAGUUGUAUCCAGCGUGGAUCCAAGUGGCUCAGCUGCCCAUCUACGUCUCAGGGGUAAAACCGUCCAGAAACAAAAAGUAUUUGAUGACAUCAUAAUUAAUUCCAAAGAUUACUAUUUAUUUAAUUAUUUUCUAUAUAAAAUGAUUCUGUAAAUUAAGACAGAAGGAACAGCCGUGAAUCUUCAACAACAACCACCCACCAUAGCCAUACCACAGGAAUAGCCAGUCUUGUUUGACAUUUUAUGGAUAUCAGAACACAUUGUGAGGAUGAGAUUUCAGAGGAUGUAACAAGAGCAUUGCUCAUUGCAAUUUCUUACUCUUUACCUGAAAAAAAGGCUUUGGAUUUGACCAAAUCAUCUGAUUCAUUCAAUGCCGUAGAAGGUGUCGCCAUGUUUAAUGGCGAUUUAAUCGAUUAUUAUCGGUCUGAACUGAUUUCCAUUUCCAAUUCGGAAUCUGGUGAUGUUUAAAAUCUGAGUACUAAACAGAUUGGGAUUCCAUCAACAUUUUCAAUUCAGAAAUCAUAAUGUAAUAUAGACAAUUCUUCUUCACUAUUAUUUGGAGAUGUAUUAUAAAUUACUUUAAAUUUCUUGUAAAGAAAGCUUUGGAGGAAGUUGAAUCUAAUUACCAUGGUUGAGGAUUCAAACACCUUCAUCUGUACAUAUUGUAUACAUUAUAUCAUACUGUAUAUAUAUAUAUAUAUAUAUUGAUGAAUAUUAUAUUGUAAUUGUUGUAUAUUGUGUGCCU
Long non-coding RNA from Cannabis sativa, 1003 nucleotides. RefSeq lists it as uncharacterized. The transcript has 2 exons. The record is from RefSeq and is a predicted model, not a curated record. Lineage: Eukaryota; Viridiplantae; Streptophyta; Magnoliopsida; Rosales; Cannabaceae.